CACGGGGGGAGCAAGCGUUGUUCGGAAUCACUGGGCGUAAAGGGCGCGUAGGCGGUCAGCACAAGUCAGUUGUGAAAUCUCCGGGCUUAACUCGGAAAGGUCAACUGAUACUGUGCGACUAGAGUGCAGAAGGGGCAACUGGAAUUCUCGGUGUAGCGGUGAAAUGCGUAGAUAUCGAGAGGAACACCUGCGGCGAAGGCGGGUUGCUGGGCUGACACUGACGCUGAUGCGCGAAAGCCAGGGGAGCGAACGGG
RNAcentral lists this ribosomal RNA (254 nucleotides) under uncultured bacterium. RNAcentral describes it as "partial 16S ribosomal RNA". It matches the Rfam family "Bacterial small subunit ribosomal RNA", at positions 524 to 776 of the family's 1533-position model. The record is from RNAcentral.